Molecule: long non-coding RNA, 619 nt
Organism: Carcharodon carcharias (great white shark)
Lineage: Eukaryota; Metazoa; Chordata; Chondrichthyes; Lamniformes; Lamnidae
Exons: 3
Source: RefSeq, a predicted model, not a curated record
AAACUGGGAGUUGCCAGCUCCCGGUGAUUGGGUGAGAGUGGAGUAUAAGAAGCUGCUGUUUAGGUUGUUUGUCCUUUUCCACUGAGGGCGUCUCCCCUUUGAGGGGGGAUGAUUCCCACCAUUUUCUCAUCUUUCUGAGGGAUGCCAGUUGGUGACCCAGAUGAACUUGCUUGCAGUAGUUAACCUUUUAGUAGUUCUAUGGAAAAGAUAGUCCUGCUUCCAGCGGCAGGAAACAUUAGUAUCUUUGAUGCUAGUGUGCAGAAUGGAAACGUCGGAGAUGAUGUAGAUCGGAUACAUCUGGAGAGUUGGUGUUGAGGCUGGGCAGUUGAAGACAAUGGGAAGUUGUCUGAUUGGUCAGCCUCAACAGUAGACCGGAAGAUCUCUCAACAACGAAACAAAUAACCGCACAACCAAAAGCAACCAAAACAACCAUGACACUUUUUUUUUAUUUUAGCUUGUUUUUUUAGUUUUUUUUUUUCGCUCAAGUUGUCUGCGUUGCUUGGUUCGGUGGGAUGAGAGGCCCCAACCGGUAAAGUCAAAUGCCUCAUCUUUCUUUAUAAGGCUGUACGCAUAAUUUCUGUCAGCAUGAAACUCCCAAUAAAAAGAGCAAAACAAUGAA